UCACUCCUAAGUGAUGAUCUUCACGAGAUAAUUAAAUCCAAAUAAACAAACCUCUGUUGAAAACCUUCUAACCUGCCCAGCAAGACAGGCUGGCAGAGUCAUUGGAUGGUUAGAGAGCUGGAGGCAAAUGAAACCAGGGGAUUCUUUGGGCUCCUUGAAAUUUGCACCCCUUGAGCUCCCAGAAUGAGUCUUCCAUCUUUAGCAAGCCUUCCCAGAAACAUGAACAUGCCUUGAAACAUCCACUGAUUGCACCGAUCAAGGGAGGCCCCCCUUUCAAGCAUCCUGCCGUAUCCUGCCAAUGAGACCCUCCAGGAAGUUCUGUGUCACUCGCACUUUGCAGCAGAACAGCUUCUGAUGAGGCUUGAAGAACCUCUAGGUGAAACAGCCAGUGAAAGCCAGGACACAAAACCAGUUCCUCUGAUCCCCAAACCUGCAAUUUUUCCCAUUAUGCUGACUCUCCGAGGAGAAAACAGAGCCUGCAGCCUGCGUGGGAGUCUUGGCGAGGCCUGGGCACAGCUGGUCCGAGAGGGUCCUCAAAAGUCAGGUUACUGCCUCAUCUAGACGGUUCUGACCUCAGUGCACAGCAGACCAGUGACAGCUUGGGAACUGGCGCUGGUCCUGUUGGUGGAACCCACGUUGAGUGGCACGGCUGUGGAAGGAGCUGAGGCUGGCCCUACUGCACCUGUGGCCCC
This is a long non-coding RNA of Choloepus didactylus (southern two-toed sloth), 692 nucleotides long. RefSeq lists it as uncharacterized. The transcript is spliced from 5 exons. The record is from RefSeq and is a predicted model, not a curated record. Lineage: Eukaryota; Metazoa; Chordata; Mammalia; Pilosa; Megalonychidae.